This is a long non-coding RNA of Fukomys damarensis (Damara mole-rat), 1279 nucleotides long. RefSeq lists it as uncharacterized. Lineage: Eukaryota; Metazoa; Chordata; Mammalia; Rodentia; Bathyergidae. The record is from RefSeq and is a predicted model, not a curated record. The transcript has 3 exons.
AAAGCCAAGGCAGGAGGGGCACCAUUGUUGGAUAAGAGUAUCAGGAGCCAUGGAGACCCACACAGAAGGAUUAACAAGCACCCACUGAGGAUAACUAGGACCUUUUCAGACCGAAAAUCUUGAGUCCUCAACCACAUGGUCCCUCAGCCUUCCGAGGUUGACUACUUUGAUUAGUGUCAAGAACGGGGGUGGCAAAUAGUUUCAUAUUCUGUGCCAACAUUAGUCAACUGAGGAGCCUAAAGUAUUGUAUUGAGAGUGUUCCUGAAGGUUGGGUUUGAGGAAAAGCAUUAUGAUUGAUUGGUGAUGUCUUCCCUGAGCACAGAACAGAGGAGAGCUGGUAUCCAUGGCAACGAGGCAAGAAGAAAAGAGAAUGCACCAUAUGAAGAUAGCUAAGCCAACGCGCCCUUCAGUGGUGUUGGUCGCUCCUGCACUCGGGGACUGAGCGGAUGGUGUGGUUUUUCCAACUUCCCAAGUUUCUUAAGGUCAAGGGAACCUUAUUCGUCCCACCUUCCCUCUCUUCAGUUUGGAGCCUCACAGCUGAUGUGGAAUAACAACAGGAAGGAGGCAAGAAUGCUCCUGAGACCCUGGCGUGACCACUCAGUUCCUGAGUACAAAUUGAGCAUGACUAUAUGCCCAGCAGCCACAGCAAGCAGAAUUACAGACCCCAGGGAGACCAAAAAAAAAAAGAAUAGCCAAUGAUGUCCACCGCUGAGGCUUUGUCUGAGCUCUUGGAGACCGUGGCAGUUUUCAUCUUCACACCUACAUCCUUCCCAGCUGAUGGACAAGUGGACGGCUGGUGGGUGUCUCAAUUGACCAUGAACCUGCUGCUCAGCCAUCCCUCUUCCUUUGCAGGUGAAUGACAGGCCUUACACUUCCUGUCCAUCGCUGAACACAUGUGCAUAGAACCCCAGCCUCCUCUGCGCUCACCUAGAGACACAAAACUGCACUGCAUGUGUCCCGAUCCUCAUGGAGUUUCAACUAGCAGGGGCUAGAAGUAAAGCUGAAAAUCCAGAGAUGAAUUUUAAGUGCUUGGAGCCAGCCAAGGGUUGCAAGAGCCCUUGCCCACAUAAGAAGUCAAAAACCUAGCAGCCAGGGUGAGUGGGCAGCCACUGGGCAGAACGAAAAGAGAGACUCCCCCACCAUACCACACACAUACGCACACACAAAGCAGCAGCAGCAAGGAGCACAGAAGUGUGCAAGAGCUAUGCCCAUAGAACUCAGCUGGUCCCACUCAGAGAAGGCAGAGUGGCUGGGGAUGAAAGGUGGGAGGUGCUGUGGC